This 253-nucleotide unclassified non-coding RNA is filed under the name uncultured Caryophanales bacterium. RNAcentral's name for it is "uncultured Bacillales bacterium contains 16S-23S intergenic spacer region". It matches the Rfam family "Bacterial small subunit ribosomal RNA", at positions 524 to 776 of the family's 1533-position model. The record is from RNAcentral. Lineage: Bacteria; Bacillati; Bacillota; Bacilli; Caryophanales.
UACGUAGGUGGCAAGCGUUGUCCGGAAUUAUUGGGCGUAAAGCGCGCGCAGGUGGUUCCUUAAGUUUGAUGUGAAAGCCCACGGCUUAACCGUGGAGGGUCAUUGGAAACUGGGGAACUUGAGUACAGAAGAGGAGAGUGGAAUUCCACGUGUCGCGGUGAAAUGCGUAGAUAUGUGGAGGAACACCCGUGGCGAAGGCGACUCUAUGGUCUGUAACUGACACUGAGGCGCGAAAGCGUGGGGAGCGAACAGG